This 1288-nucleotide long non-coding RNA is filed under the name Oryza sativa (Asian cultivated rice). RNAcentral describes it as "long non-coding RNA (OSAT_LNC000527)". Lineage: Eukaryota; Viridiplantae; Streptophyta; Magnoliopsida; Poales; Poaceae. The record is from RNAcentral.
AUCGAGUCCCCCUCGCUUUCGGUUUUGGGGGGGGCUCGUGGCCGCGGCGGCCUCUUCGGCCCGGGAAACGAACGAACGAGACGGGGGGGACCAAGCGGCGAGUGCGUGCCCCCAGUUUAAAAUGUUUUGAAUGCCACAUGCGUCCAUGUGUACUUGGAGGCGACGCGAAUUAUUGGCUGCCCCUCCGCUGCGCAGCUUGGAUUCUGGAUGGAUCACCCUGGAUGGGGUUUUGGAUGAGGGGAGGGCCUCAGGCAACAAGAGGGGAAUCUCUCCCCCCCAAGUUCGGAUAGAUGGUGAUUAGCUUAGCUAGUGUGUCUUAUCUCCUACUACUAGUAGUAGAUCCAUCAGUUUCCGAUAAUUCUCAUGAGGUGACAAACUGACACUCCUCCAAUCUCAAAUCUGUUGUUUCUGAUGAGUUACACAGAGAUGAUCUGUUUUGAACGCAUGAAUUCUGCAGGAUUUUUGCGUUUAUCUCGCGGAUGGGUGUUUCUUGUCUGAUCUCCAUGCAUGCAUGUCCAGUUGUCCAUUCAUCUCUGUGUAAAAACAGAGACAGAUCAAUGAACAGGUGAUUUCCUAUUACUGUCUGAUCAUAGUAUGCCGUUAGCAGGUGGGGCACUGCAGAACGGAAUCUAUGCAAGCACACAUCAUCAAGCACGCGAAUAAACCCCACAUCCGAGCUGAGCAUGCUUGUGCCUAAUCCAGAUGCAAAAGCAGCCACUUAAUUAGCAUUUAGCAGCUCGUUCCUGGAAGUAGAACCACCCCCCCACACACAACCCACUUGCAGUUUUGCAUAUCGCUGUACUUGCACAUAGUAGUCAGUACAUGUCAAUUUAGCUGUAAAUUUGCCCUCUCCUCUCUCUUUUUCUCCAUGAAACAGAUGGAUUUGGAUGUGACCCCAAGGAAAGAAUAUACCAUUCAUACAUCCCUUUCUUUAAAUUGUGGAAAAGGGAGGUAAACAAAGACGUGUUCAUGGGAAGUCGGCUCACUGAAACUUCAGUAGCACAUUUGGAGAGAUUCUAGAGUAAUUCUAGUACAAAUAAUUUCCUUUUGCUAGUGUCAUUAAUCUUUUAAUUUUGUUGAUUGUUUCUGCGCUUUUUCCUAUAAUUAUAUGUGGUUCAACUAUUUAGAGAGCCCAUUUGUAUUUUCUGAAGGAAGAUGCCUUUUCAACGGGAUAGUGUCAGUGUAAAUUAAUGUUCUUAGGCUUGUAAUGAUAUGAGUUGUUAAAAGAAACGCCCAACAGCAUCCAAAGAAUACAUUUUUGGUUAUCUAAAGAAAUAAUAUGUUUGUC